Eptesicus fuscus (big brown bat) is the source of this 585-nucleotide long non-coding RNA. RefSeq lists it as uncharacterized. NCBI's taxonomy places the organism in Eukaryota, Metazoa, Chordata, Mammalia, Chiroptera, Vespertilionidae. The record is from RefSeq and is a predicted model, not a curated record. The transcript has 5 exons.
CACUUAGUUACCUACAAGGGAACUGCCAUAAGACUGUCAGCUGACUUCUCAACAGAAACUUUGCAGUCCUGCAGGUCCUGCCCCAGCAUGAAGACUGCUGGAUCGCUACUGUCUGAUACAAUGACCCAUCAGGACGACUCUACCUUGCCUUGCACUCUCGCUGCCUACAUCAGGAAGUGAUUCCUUGGUUCUGGACACUUCUCAAAAGCAGGCUUUGUAUAUAGUGUAAUUAUAAUUUCAGACUGAAAAGUUCAGGAUCAAAUGAGAACAAAUGAUAAAGUCCCCCCAGACAGGAAGUUUUCACAGCGCCAUGGUGUUUACUGCAUUCACAAAGAAGGCUGAAGACUUAUCGAAGACUGCAAAUCCUCCUAUUAAGUUGUGACAGUGCAGAAAUGGCCUAGACUUCUUUAAGCUCUCCAUGUGGUCUUCUAGAGCUGGUUUCUGUCCCAAGUUUUAUGAAAGACUCCUUUAAAAGAAGCUCCAAACAGGGAUGCCAGAGCAUUAAACAUUCAGUGAAGCCUUUAAGAACAAGAUAGAAAGGCUUCAAUAGCCUUUCAGUUAUACUGGAAACACUACUUGAUUAAA